AACAAUCAAAUAUCCUUACCGUAGACAGUUGGCGCGUUUAUCGCUUAAAUUUGCCACCCGAGGGAUUUCUUUUGAAGUGUGCGUCCGCGUGCAUUUUACAAAAACCUCUGACGUCUACGGUGUCAGAGGUUUUUUGUUGCUGAU
Regulatory RNA element from Listeria monocytogenes EGD-e, 144 nucleotides. It matches the Rfam family "Ribosomal protein L10 leader". Rfam says of the family: This family is a putative r-protein leader autoregulatory structure found in B. subtilis and other low-GC Gram-positive bacteria. The record is from Rfam. NCBI's taxonomy places the organism in Bacteria, Bacillati, Bacillota, Bacilli, Caryophanales, Listeriaceae.